Molecule: ribosomal RNA, 229 nt
Filed under: uncultured Acanthamoeba
Lineage: Eukaryota; Discosea; Longamoebia; Acanthamoebidae
Description: partial 18S ribosomal RNA
Rfam family: Eukaryotic small subunit ribosomal RNA
Source: RNAcentral
CUCAUUAAAUCAGUUAUAGUUUAUUUGAUGGUCCCUUUUGUCUUUUUUUACCUACUUGGAUAACCGUGGUAAUUCUAGAGCUGAUACAUGCGCAAGGUCCCGAGCGCGGGGGGUGGGGCUUCACGGCUCCAUUCUCGCAUGCGCAGAGGGAUGUAUUUAUUAGGUUAAACAACCAGCAUUUUAACAAUCAUCUGGUGAUUCCUAGUAACUCUUUUGGAUCGCAUUCAUG